AGUGAACGCUGGCGGUAGGCCUAACACAUGCAAGUCGAACGGCAGCACAGUAAGAGCUUGCUCUUACGGGUGGCGAGUGGCGGACGGGUGAGGAAUACAUCGGAAUCUACUUUUUCGUGGGGGAUAACGUAGGGAAACUUACGCUAAUACCGCAUACGACCUACGGGUGAAAGCGGGGGAUCUUCGGACCUUGCGCGAUUGAAUGAGCCGAUGUCGGUUUAGCUAGUUGGCGGGGUAAAGGCCCACCAAGGCGACGAUCCGUAGCUGGUCUGAGAGGAUGAUCAGCCACACUGGAACUGAGACACGGUCCAGACUCCUACGGGAGGCAGCAGUGGGGAAUAUUGGACAAUGGGCGCAAGCCUGAUCCAGCCAUACCGCGUGGGUGAAGAAGGCCUUCGGGUUGUAAAGCCCUUUUGUUGGGAAAGAAAAGCAGCAGGUUAAUACCCCGCUGUUCUGACGGUACCCAAAGAAUAAGCACCGGCUAACUUCGUG
This 492-nucleotide ribosomal RNA is filed under the name uncultured bacterium. RNAcentral describes it as "partial 16S ribosomal RNA". It matches the Rfam family "Bacterial small subunit ribosomal RNA", at positions 29 to 507 of the family's 1533-position model. The record is from RNAcentral.